UACGUAGGGACCAAGCGUUGUUCGGAUUUAUUGGGCGUAAAGGGCGCGUAGGCGGCGCGGUAAGUCAGUUGUGAAAUCUCUGAGCUUAACUCAGAACGGCCAAGUGAUACUGCAGUGCUAGAGUGCGGAAGGGGCAAUCGGAAUUUUUGGUGUAGCGGUGAAAUGCGUAGAUAUCAAGAGGAACACCUGAGGUGAAGGCGGGUUGCUGGGCCAACACUGACGCUGAGGCGCGAAAGCCUGGGGAGCAAACGGG
Molecule: ribosomal RNA, 253 nt
Filed under: uncultured bacterium
Lineage: Bacteria
Description: partial 16S ribosomal RNA
Rfam family: Bacterial small subunit ribosomal RNA
Source: RNAcentral